RNAcentral lists this ribosomal RNA (317 nucleotides) under Pseudobutyrivibrio sp. AR14. Its description in RNAcentral is "bacterial LSU rRNA". It matches the Rfam family "Bacterial large subunit ribosomal RNA", at positions 2607 to 2925 of the family's 2925-position model. The record is from RNAcentral. Lineage: Bacteria; Bacillati; Bacillota; Clostridia; Lachnospirales; Lachnospiraceae.
GGGUUCAGAACGUCGUGAGACAGUUCGGUCCCUAUCCGGCGCGGGCGGAGGAUAUUUGAGAGGAGCUGCCCCUAGUACGAGAGGACCGGGGUGGACGGACCACUGGUGUAUCAGCUGUCGACCAACGGCAUAGCUGAGUAGCCAAGUCUGGACGGGAUAAACGCUGAAGGCAUCUAAGCGUGAAGCCCCCCUCAAGAUGAGAUAUCCCCUCCUUCAAGGAGAUAAGAUCCCUUAAAGACGAUAAGGUAGAUAGGUUCAAGGUGUAAGUGUGGUAACACAUUCAGCUGAUGAAUACUAAUAGAUCGAAGGUUUAUUCU